This 497-nucleotide ribosomal RNA is filed under the name uncultured bacterium. RNAcentral describes it as "partial 16S ribosomal RNA". It matches the Rfam family "Bacterial small subunit ribosomal RNA", at positions 28 to 507 of the family's 1533-position model. The record is from RNAcentral.
GAUGAACGCUGGCGGCGUGCCUAAUACAUGCAAGUCGAGCGAACAGACGAGGAGCUUGCUCCUCUGACGUUAGCGGCGGACGGGUGAGUAACACGUGGAUAACCUACCUAUAAGACUGGGAUAACUUCGGGAAACCGGAGCUAAUACCGGAUAACAUGUUGAACCGCAUGGUUUAACAGUGAAAGACGGUCUUGCUGUCACUUAUAGAUGGAUCCGCGCCGCAUUAGCUAGUUGGUAAGGUAACGGCUUACCAAGGCAACGAUGCGUAGCCGACCUGAGAGGGUGAUCGGCCACACUGGAACUGAGACACGGCCCAGACUCCUACGGGAGGCAGCAGUAGGGAAUCUUCCGCAAUGGGCGAAAGCCUGACGGAGCAACGCCGCGUGAGUGAAGAAGGUCUUCGGAUCGUAAAACUCUGUUAUUAGGGAAGAACAAAUGUGUAAGUAACUAUGCACGUCUUGACGGUACCUAAUCAGAAAGCCACGGCUAACUACGUG